CGAACGCUGGCGGCGUGCCUAACACAUGCAAGUCGAGCGAUGAAGCUCCUUCGGGAGUGGAUUAGCGGCGGACGGGUGAGUAACACGUGGGUAACCUGCCUCAUAGAGAGGGAUAGCCUUCCGAAAGGAAGAUUAAUACCUCAUAAGAUUGUAGUUUCGCAUGAAACAGCAAUAAAAGGAGCAAUCCGCUAUGAGAUGGACCCGCGUCGCAUUAGCUAGUUGGUAAGGUAAAGGCUUACCAAGGCGACGAUGCGUAGCCGACCUGAGAGGGUGAUCGGCCACAUUGGGACUGAGACACGGCCCAGACUCCUACGGGAGGCAGCAGUGGGGAAUAUUGCACAAUGGGGGAAACCCUGAUGCAGCAACGCCGCGUGAGUGAUGACGGUCUUCGGAUUGUAAAA
RNAcentral lists this ribosomal RNA (401 nucleotides) under Clostridium sp. GR1-A3. RNAcentral's name for it is "bacterial SSU rRNA". It matches the Rfam family "Bacterial small subunit ribosomal RNA", at positions 30 to 430 of the family's 1533-position model. Lineage: Bacteria; Bacillati; Bacillota; Clostridia; Eubacteriales; Clostridiaceae. The record is from RNAcentral.